UUUUUUUUUUUUUUUUGGAGUAACAUGCAUGCUGCGUAUUUCUGCUUGUCCGAACAAAACGAGAUGUCCUAACAAAAUACCAUCUCGAGAGAAAUAGGCGAGCGUAGGUAUUAUUGGAAAGCGGUGGAAAAUACCCAAAUUGUGUUAGCAUUUCGUGUGCGACCGUGUUAGAGAGAGCACGUCCUAGAAAGGUAAAAUCCCCAUUUCCGUUGCGGUGUCACUGGUCCAUGUCCAGAUCAGAUCCAAGCGCCAUACACAUCAAACCAAAACCAGAUCUGACCAGCACAGCACAGUCCCAGCAAACAGUGCACGCGCGCAUGAUGAAAGAGACAGAUCUAUGAUUAAACAAUGAUGGAAUAAUACAAUGAGGGGUAAUAAUAAAAAUAUAAAUCAAAUCUCCUCAAUUUGGUACAGGAAGGGGGCAAGAAAGAAAGAAUCCGAGGCGGACGUGCGUGAGUGGGACUACACAGGAAGGAGAUGCCGGCCCGUCCGGCCAGUUAGAAAAAAUAGACACGAGAUACAGCACAAAAUGUGGUGGCAUGCACAGACACGGACGCAGACAGCUCGUCCGAAAGGCGCGGUGCAGCGGCCGCCGCAUGAUUGCGUGUCCUCGUGGCGGGCCUCGACAGGGCCGGGCCGGCCGGCUGGCCUCCCGCGUUCGCCGGCUUUGCUCGCCUAGGCGAGGAGGGCGAGGAGGCCCAGCGCCAUCGCGCACGCCGACAUGAUGUUCCCUGCCAUGCUCUGGAUCGCGCCCUGCAGUAACCAGGCAAAAAUUUAAUCGGCAGGUAAAAAUAACGUGUUUACUAGCAGGAGCAGUGUCGUGGAGGCUUCCGGAAUGCAUUGUUUACGGGCGCGGUACACGCUCCGAGUUGUAUAACAGCAGUGACUUGUAGAAGCUUGACUUUUGAAAUGUUUAAUUCUUUUAUUUACUUUCCAUUAACUGCUCUGUCCGUAGCAACGGCAUGAUGCACAUGCGUGCCUGGCCAACAUGUCGGGACGGGCCAAAUGCGGAUGCAUCUACCACCGCCACUGUUCUCACUCAUCAGUCACUUCCCUUUCCCUAGUCACAUGCUUGGUGGAGCCAAACAAAGCUAUGGUCCUGCUAAUGAGCAAGCCAUUAUGGCACUAAUUACUAAAUUAGCCAUCUAAGCACUCAUAGGUGUAAUACUAAACUCAGUAGCCACUGUAAGUAAGAGCAUUGCUAAUUAUUUUACUACGUACUAACAGCGGGCAAAGUUCGGCGUCGCGUCCAACUACGUAGCAGUUCUUUGCCAAAGGAAAAAGAAACUACUGUCGGUUGUGCGUAGAUCAGUUGUGAAACUUCGACGGGCACUGUCGGUUCAAAUGGCGUAGUAUAGAGGGUGGAGAUGGGAACGUACCGCGGUGUCGUCGGCGGCAGCAUCGAGUGCGGGGCCGGGGGCUUCGGAGUCGUCGGAGGCCGCGGGGGCCUUGGCCUUCUUGGACUUGGUGGGGGCCUCGGCGGCGACGGGAGCGGGGGCCGGGGCCUUGCUCUUCUUCUUCUUGGAGGACGACUUCUUCUUCUUCUUGGCCGGGGCGGGCGCGGGGGCGUCGGGCUUGGUGGGGAUGGUGGCGGGUGCCUCGGCGACGGGAGCGGGAGGGGCGGCGACGGGGGCCUCGACCGGCGGGGUGCUGGCCUUGGGAGCCGGGGCAGGGGGCGAGGCGGCGGCCUUGGUGGGCGGUGCCGCGGCGGGAGCCUUGGCUGGUGCUGGGGUGGCCUNNN
This 1741-nucleotide long non-coding RNA is filed under the name Triticum aestivum (bread wheat). RNAcentral's name for it is "long non-coding RNA (TAES_LNC020414)". The record is from RNAcentral. Lineage: Eukaryota; Viridiplantae; Streptophyta; Magnoliopsida; Poales; Poaceae.